Long non-coding RNA from Xiphophorus hellerii (green swordtail), 1437 nucleotides. RefSeq lists it as uncharacterized. The record is from RefSeq and is a predicted model, not a curated record. The transcript is spliced from 4 exons. Lineage: Eukaryota; Metazoa; Chordata; Actinopteri; Cyprinodontiformes; Poeciliidae.
AAUAAUAAAGGAUGAUGCUUUUAUAUUCUUUAAUAUUACCUCAGCGAAGUUCCCAAAUUGUGAUUUAAAACACUCAUAACCUUUGCAUAAAGCUUACUGAUGUCAAGCUUGAAGAAGCAUCCUUACCUGAAACCUAAUAGAAAUAUGUGCACAAUGUUUCAAAAGCAGUUCUGUUUAAAUAAAUAAAUAAAGGUCCGGGUUUACCUCCAAUGUAUUUUUCCUUGCACAUUUCAUUUUGUUUCUCUGUAUGUUCACUUAAUCUUAAUGUUUUUUAUUUGUUUAUAUCACAGUUUAAAAGGUUUACUGUACCUGGAAUCAGCAUGUUUUAAAACAUGUAUUGGUGCUUUAAGAGGACAAUGAUCUCACACACACUUCUAAAGUGGUUUUGAUAUUAAUACUUUACAUAAGCAAUAAGCUCUUGGAGAGCCAUGAACUCUGAUACUGAAAAUAUGCCGUUGUUUAAUAUGCCAGUGACGUUUACAUUGGAAUAAACCUAUGUUGUCAUCUGUACACGUUACCAGGCAACACCAGUUACCUUCAGGUGUCGUAUGUUUCGUACAGCUGACAGUGUUGGACUGACCUGUUCCUGUUAUUUUUACUAAAUGACUAAAAUGUCUGAAAUAUAGUCAAGUGUUUUUUAUUUCACAUUUUGUUACAAUAAAACCACAAACUUCAUAGCAUUUUAUUUGGAAAUUUAUAUAAUAGACCAACUAAAGUUGGUGAUUUUAUACUUUUUUUUACUAGGAAACAUAAAAAAAUGUGUUAUGCAUUUUUGUAUUCAGGCUCUUUAAUACGUAUAUGAUCCAUGCAUCUUAACUGUGAAUAAUAAAUGUUAAUCACUUAUUUCUUUAUUUUGGGAACUUGGUGUCAAAGCAAUUUUCUGACUUUUCUUGCAUGUCAUUAAAAGUAUUUGAUUGGAAAUGGUUUUAAAUUUUUCAUACAGGCAUAAAUAAGUAAAUGUUUCAUGUUUUAUCUCUAAACUUUACCUUCAGUAUAAAUUAUGUUUCGCCUUUAAUUUCCACUUCUGCCUUAAUGUUAAAGAGAGUUGCUGGUGUUACAGGAGCAUGUUUUCUAUAAGUUUAUUCUGCCUUUUCAGCUCCACCAGCACGCAUGAAACUUUUGGUGCAAUUUGACGCACAUUAAAAAUAAAUGGUAUGGUGAAGUUUUAAUGAUUUAAAAACAUUUAAAAUUGCAUCCAGCCAGAGCCAGGGAGACGAUCUGUACUUGGAAAGCUUUUGUUCAUUUGAGCUUGGAUCAAAGACGGCGGCAUCUUGGUUUUUUGGCUCACUUUCUGUGAGAAGUUUUAACUUUAGGGAUGAAGUGAGAGCUAAACCAGGAAUAGAUCAUUACAAGUACGACGGUUUCCGUGUAGCAAAUGAAAACAUACAUUGAGACCUUCUCUGCUCCUGCAGCAGGUUCCUCCAUACCUGAGAGCUU